RNAcentral lists this ribosomal RNA (757 nucleotides) under uncultured Actinomyces sp. RNAcentral's name for it is "bacterial SSU rRNA". It matches the Rfam family "Bacterial small subunit ribosomal RNA", at positions 28 to 776 of the family's 1533-position model. The record is from RNAcentral. Lineage: Bacteria; Bacillati; Actinomycetota; Actinomycetes; Actinomycetales; Actinomycetaceae.
GACGAACGCUGGCGGCGUGCUUAACACAUGCAAGUCGAACGAAAAUACCAAGCUUGCUUGGUUGAUUAGUGGCGAACGGGUGAGUAACACGUGAGUAACCUGCCCCUUACUUUCUGGAUAACUGCUCGAAAGGGUAGCUAAUACGGGAUAUUCUGGCCUUCCUGCAUGGGUUGGUUUGGAAAGGUUGUUUUUCCUGGUGAGGGAUGGGCUCGCGGCCUAUCAGCUUGUUGGUGGGGUGAUGGCCUACCAAGGCUUUGACGGGUAGCCGGCCUGAGAGGGUGGACGGUCACACUGGGACUGAGAUACGGCCCAGACUCCUACGGGAGGCAGCAGUGGGGAAUAUUGCACAAUGGGCGCAAGCCUGAUGCAGCGACGCCGCGUGAGGGAUGAAGGCCUUCGGGUUGUAAACCUCUUUCGUCAGGGAACAAGGCAUUGCCUUUUUGGUGGUGUUGAGGGUACCUGGAUAAGAAGCGCCGGCUAACUACGUGCCAGCAGCCGCGGUAAUACGUAGGGCGCAAGCGUUGUCCGGAAUUAUUGGGCGUAAAGAGCUCGUAGGCGGCUGGUCGCGUCUGUCGUGAAAACUUCCGGCUCAACCGGGGGCUUGCGGUGGGUACGGGCCGGCUAGAGUGCGGUAGGGGUAACUGGAACUCCUGGUGUAGCGGUGGAAUGCGCAGAUAUCAGGAAGAACACCGAUGGCGAAGGCAGGUUACUGGGCCGUUACUGACGCUGAGGAGCGAAAGCGUGGGGAGCGAACAGG